This is a long non-coding RNA of Drosophila innubila, 464 nucleotides long. RefSeq lists it as uncharacterized. The transcript is spliced from 2 exons. NCBI's taxonomy places the organism in Eukaryota, Metazoa, Arthropoda, Insecta, Diptera, Drosophilidae. The record is from RefSeq and is a predicted model, not a curated record.
UUCAAUAUAAUUAAUUUCUGUUUCUGUAGCGGUUUGUUCGGACGUCGAACGCUCGCUCGCUCGUCCGCUAGCUCGCUCGCUUGCUCGAUAGCUGGCUUCGCUUCAGCCUCAGUUUCAAUUGUUGUGUUUCAGUUUCUGUUUUUCGCGUUUCGUUCACACAGUCGUCGAUUUAAUUUUAUUUAUUUUGUUGUUGUCGUGUUUUCGUUUCGGUUUCGUGGCCGCGCGCUUCUCAAAUGAGGAAUCGAAAUCGGCAUAGAAAUCAGAAACAGCAACAGAAACAAAAUCACAAUUCGAUUCGGUAUCAAGAUCGUAAAUGGAAAUCGUAAAUCGUAAAUAGUCCACAAUGAGCUAAUGUAACAGAAGCAACAACAACAAUUAGCAAAUUGCAAACAUUUAUAGUGUGACACUACAACAACAACAAAUACCUCCGCACUGCAACAGCUGUACAAAUAUUAAUUAAAAAA